Molecule: ribosomal RNA, 519 nt
Filed under: uncultured bacterium
Lineage: Bacteria
Description: bacterial SSU rRNA
Rfam family: Bacterial small subunit ribosomal RNA
Source: RNAcentral
GAGUUUGAUCCUGGCUCAGGAUGAACGCUGGCGGCGUGCUUAACACAUGCAAGUCGAACGAAGCACCUUAUUCUGAUUUCUUCGGAAUGAAAAAUUUGGUGACUGAGUGGCGGACGGGUGAGUAACGCGUGGGUAACCUGCCUCAUACAGGGGGAUAACAGUUAGAAAUGACUGCUAAUACCGCAUAAGACCACGGCACCGCAUGGUGCAGGGGUAAAAACUCCGGUGGUAUGAGAUGGACCCGCGUCUGAUUAGGUAGUUGGUGGGGUAACGGCCUACCAAGCCGACGAUCAGUAGCCGACCUGAGAGGGUGACCGGCCACAUUGGGACUGAGACACGGCCCAAACUCCUACGGGAGGCAGCAGUGGGGAAUAUUGCACAAUGGGGGGAACCCUGAUGCAGCGACGCCGCGUGAGUGAAGAAGUAUCUCGGUAUGUAAAGCUCUAUCAGCAGGGAAGAAAAUGACGGUACCUGACUAAGAAGCCCCGGCUAACUACGUGCCAGCCGCCGCGGUAAUUC